AUGGAUGGACCCGCGGUGCAUUAGCUAGUUGGUGAGGUAACGGCUCACCAAGGCCACGAUCUCAUAGCCGACCUGAGAGGGUGAUCGGCCACAUUGGGACUGAGACACGGCCCAAACUCCUACGGGAGGCAGCAGUAGGGAAUCUUCGGCAAUGGACGAAAGUCUGACCGAGCAACGCCGCGUGAGUGAAGAAGGUUUUCUGAUCGUAAAACUCUGUUGUUAGAGAAGAACAAGGGUGAGAGUAACUGCUCACCCCUUGACGGUAUCUAACCAGAAAGCCACGGCUAACUACGUGCCAGCAGCCGCGGUAAUACGUAUGUGGCAAGCGUUGUCCGGAUUUAUUGGGCGUGAAGCCAGCGCAUGCCGUUUCUUAAGUCCGAUGUGAAAGCCCCCCCCUCAACCGGGGAGGGUCGUUGGAAACUGGGACACUUGAGUGCGGAACACGCCAGUGGAAUUCCCUGUGUAGCUGUGAGAUGCGCAAACAUGGGGAGUAAAACCCGUUUGCCACCGCGGCUCUCUGGGCUCUGGCUCUGUCUCAGACGCAAAAAACCCCCGUAGCCC
Molecule: ribosomal RNA, 561 nt
Filed under: Enterococcus mundtii
Lineage: Bacteria; Bacillati; Bacillota; Bacilli; Lactobacillales; Enterococcaceae
Description: bacterial SSU rRNA
Rfam family: Bacterial small subunit ribosomal RNA
Source: RNAcentral